RNAcentral lists this ribosomal RNA (719 nucleotides) under uncultured anaerobic ammonium-oxidizing bacterium. Its description in RNAcentral is "bacterial SSU rRNA". It matches the Rfam family "Bacterial small subunit ribosomal RNA", at positions 565 to 1274 of the family's 1533-position model. The record is from RNAcentral.
GAGCACGUAGGUGGGUUUGUAAGUCAGACGUGAAAGCCUUCUGUUCAACGGAAGAAUUGCAUCUGAAACUACAAACCUUGAGUGUAGGAGGGGAGAAUGGAACUUCUGGUGGAGCGGUGAAAUGCGUAGAUAUCAGAAGGAACGCCGGCGGCGAAAGCGAUUCUCUGGCCUAUUACUGACACUCAGUGUGCGAAAGCUAGGGGAGCAAACGGGAUUAGAUACCCCGGUAGUCCUAGCCGUAAACGAUGGGCACUAAGUAGAGGGAAUUACCGAUGUUCUCUCUGCCGUAGCUAACGCAUUAAGUGCCCCGCCUGGGAGUACGGCCGCAAGGCUAAAACUCAAAAGAAUUGACGGGGGCUCGCACAAGCGGUGGAGCAUGUGGCUUAAUUCGAUGCAACGCGAAAAACCUUACCGGGGCUUGACAUGGUAGAAGUAGGAACCCGAAAGGGUAACGAACGGUAUUCAGUCCGUGACUAUCACAGGUGUUGCAUGGCUGUCGUCAGCUCGUGUCGUGAGACGUUGGGUUAAGUCCCCUAACGAGCGAAACCCUUAUUUUUAGUUGCCAGCGGGUUGUGCCGGGCACUCUAGAAAGACUGCCGUCGUCAAGACGGAGGAAGGUGGGGAUGACGUCAAGUCAUCAUGGCCCUUAUACCCCGGGCUGCACACGUGCUACAAUGGCCGGUACAAACGGAAGCGAAGCCGAGAGGUGAAGCGAAUCC